This 501-nucleotide ribosomal RNA is filed under the name uncultured bacterium. RNAcentral describes it as "bacterial SSU rRNA". It matches the Rfam family "Bacterial small subunit ribosomal RNA", at positions 29 to 526 of the family's 1533-position model. The record is from RNAcentral.
AUUGAACGCUGGCGGCAUGCUUUACACAUGCAAGUCGAACGCGGCCGGGGGGCAACUUCUGGCCGAGUGGCGAACGGGUGAGUAAUACAUCGGAACGUACCCCGUUGUGGGGGAUAACCCACCGAAAGGUGGGCUAAUACCGCAUACGCCCUUUGGGGGAAAGCGGGGGACCGCACGGCCUCGCGCGCUGGGAGCGGCCGAUGCCGGAUUAGCUAGUAGGUGGGGUAAAGGCCGACCUAGGCGACGAUCCGUAGCUGGUCUGAGAGGAUGAUCAGCCACACUGGGACGGAGACACGGCCCAGACUCCUACGGGAGGCAGCAGUGGGGAAUUUUGGACAAUGGGCGCAAGCCUGAUCCAGCCAUGCCGCGUGAGUGAAGAAGGCCUUCGGGUUGUAAAGCUCUUUCGGCCGGAACGAAAUCGCAUCCUCUAAUACGGGGUGUGGAUGACGGUACCGGAAGAAGAAGCACCGGCUAACUACGUGCCAGCCGCCGCAGUAAAAC